UACGUAGGGUGCAGGCGUUAAUCGGAAUUACUGGGCGUAAAGCGUGCGCAGGCGGUUUGCUAAGACAGGUGUGAAAUCCCCGGGCUUAACCUGGGAACUGCGCUUGUAACUGGCAAGCUGGAGUGUGGCAGAGGGGGGUGGAAUUCCAGGUGUAGCAGUGAAAUGCGUAGAGAUCGGGAGGAACACCAGUGGCGAAGGCGGCUACCUGGACCAGCACUGACACUGAGGCACGAAAGCGUGGGGAGCAAACAGG
Molecule: ribosomal RNA, 253 nt
Filed under: uncultured bacterium
Lineage: Bacteria
Description: partial 16S ribosomal RNA
Rfam family: Bacterial small subunit ribosomal RNA
Source: RNAcentral